This is a long non-coding RNA of Schistocerca nitens (vagrant locust), 1812 nucleotides long. RefSeq lists it as uncharacterized. The transcript has 4 exons. NCBI's taxonomy places the organism in Eukaryota, Metazoa, Arthropoda, Insecta, Orthoptera, Acrididae. The record is from RefSeq and is a predicted model, not a curated record.
UCCAACCUUCUAUGUAUCGAUUUGACAUGUCGUCUUGACGUCCUAGCGUAGCCACAUCUCAUCUCUGACAGAAACAAAGCAAAACCAAAGUUAUACCCGAAGACGAAGCUGUAACUCUAUUGUUUCAAACUAGUGUGUAGAUAGUAGAUACUAAUUUGUGUGGGCGCGCGACUAAGUAGUCAUGUUUCCAGUGGCUGAAGAGCUCGCUGUAAUUGUCCUGUGUAUAGACUGUUUAGAAGCACAUCGUUCAGCACAAGCUCGAUUUCAAUUCGAUUUCUCAGUUGCCUACGCUAUCGUGCCAUAAUUGGUGAAUUUCGUGUUUCUACUUCCUUAUUGUGCAAAUAUGUAGUAUGAAUGCUGCGGCACAUUAAAGCUCUACGCAAGAGACUACCUUUUCUUCUCGACUACUUGUGGUAUGGAGCCUGAAAGUGUGAUACCGAUGUAUAAAAAUGUAACCCCUAAAACCGCAUAAGCGGCCUAUAUGCUUCUAAAUAUUGUGAUGUGAAGACUGUGACAAUCUACAUGAGAUUAAAAACUUAGGUAAUUAACAUACUGUUUUGAAUUUCGUGUGGGAAGAAUCAUUUGUUCUAAAGGCGAAAGGAAGUUUUCACUGUCUUUCACCAGAAAGCAGAAAAAUCAGGACGAGUAAUUGUUGGAGUUAGAAAUUGAAAUGUACUGUACAUUUCAAAUUCUGUGAGGUGGAAUGAGUGACGGCAUGGUUACGAUAUUGUAUAUAGUUGAAACAGGGGUGUCUCCCAUCUUGAUGGUAUCGUUGGUCAAAGCAGCAAUCACUGCCUGCGCAUAGCUCAUGCCACAUGCUGUGCUGCUGCAGCAACCGGCCCAGCGUAGUCCGUGCUAACUCCACCACAUCUCACCUUCGCCACGCCAUCCACUGGGUAUCCGUGCUGACUCCAUUGUGGUGGUUGACAUGCACCAUGUUGACCUUGCCAACAUUGCUGCAACGCUCCACCCAGUGCUGGAAAGGCAAAUAUGUAUCCUGAAGACCAGGGCAGGGCCGACCACGUGCGACUUCAGAAGAGCGGACUGUUAUUUGGCUUUAAGGGCACAGCAGUAUCAUCGUAGUACUGCACAGCGACUGGCAUGUGAGCUCGCACCAUCCACUGGACGUGUUGCAGCAAGGAAAACAUUGUGCGGAAGGCUUCGCCAGAGUAGCCUUUGUCAGAGACCAACUGUACGUCUACCUCUUACGCAUCUUCACAGAAGGGAACGUCUAGAGUGGCAUCAUCAACAUGCCAUGUGGACGGUAGAACAAGGGACCGAUGUUGUACACAGAUAAGUCCCACUUUAGUCUGGUGAGUGAUUCACAAUGGAGUCACAUCUGAAGGGAACAUGGAACACUAUUUCGGGACCCAAACAUUGUGGAAAGAGACCAAUAUCGAGGAUCCAUAAUGGUGUGGGCAGGGACUGUUGACCACUCAAAUCCGUGUGCAGGGGAAUCGGAAAGGUUUAACUUGACUCCUGUCAGGUAUCAUGACGAGAUCUUGGGACCUUACCUGUGGUUGUUGUGAGGUGCUGUGAGCCUAGACUUUGUAUUGUUGGGCAGUAAUGCUUGACCUCAUAGAGCACAGGCAGUUGAUAUUUUGUUGGGAAUGAAAGGUAUUGUGCACAUGGUGUGACCUGCUUGCUCUCCCAAUUUGAAUUCGCGUCUGCUGAUACCUUGCCUUAAUAAACAAAUUGAAGAGUGGUAGAUGCAAUUAUGAAGAAAGACUUGGGAUUUUAUGUCUAAUAAAUACUAAUUGUAUGUGUAUAAAUUUGUUGUAAUGGUACACAAUAAAUUUUUAACUACUAAGA